This 191-nucleotide non-coding RNA is filed under the name unclassified sequences. RNAcentral's name for it is "manA RNA". It matches the Rfam family "manA RNA". Rfam says of the family: manA RNA has been located in 5'UTR regions of genes of mannose or fructose metabolism. Has been proposed as a cis-regulatory element and as a riboswitch candidate for his complex secondary structure. The record is from RNAcentral.
AGUAACGACGGUUACAUCGGGAGUGACUGAAUAAACUUACUGGCAUAUAGCUGGUUAAGGUGAUGAGACACAGGUGGUGCUGCUAUCGAAAGAUAGAAUCGACUUACCAGUCGGGUCUCAGGCAGAGAUGUUUUUCUAACUGUAGAAAUGCCCGUCUCUUGUUGGUAUACAGGAAUCCAACCUCCCUCUUU